Molecule: long non-coding RNA, 997 nt
Filed under: Oryza sativa (Asian cultivated rice)
Lineage: Eukaryota; Viridiplantae; Streptophyta; Magnoliopsida; Poales; Poaceae
Description: long non-coding RNA (OSAT_LNC000446)
Source: RNAcentral
AUUAGCUGUCUACCAAGAAAAUGCCGCCGCAGGCAAUGCCGAUGAUGACAAUGCGAACGGUGCUGAUGCUGAAGAUGAAUCACCCUCUGCAAUGUAGAGGUCGUAUGAUUUCCAAGUGUGGUCGAGCGGGCAAGGCUUGCCGGCGUCGAGCCGGUCCCAUGGCUUGCCCUUCCCGGACCAGUGCAUGAGGCUGACAGGGCCCUUGUGGAGAGGGCGGCAGCUGCCGAGGACGUUGUCGCCGCCCAAUCCGUGCUGGUUCCAGCGGUGGUCGACGGCCUCCACCUCGCCGGCGAACACCAGCAAGAACGGGGGCAGCGACCCUAGCUCGUAGAUUCGCUUCUCCUUCUGCAGCUCCAUCCACACCUCGAUGCGGCGACGGUAGUUGCCGACGCGCCACCGCCGGAGGUCGAUGACCAUGACGCCGGUGUUGAAGUAGCAGGGCGCGCGGCGUCGCCCGGCGAAGACGCGGUCGCCGAGCUGCGGGUCGGACCAGAAGGUCUCGGUGAAGUAGCGGGAGAAGUUGGCGUGGCAGUACUCGGGCGCGGCCACGACGGCGGCGGCGGGCAGGCGCGUCUCCCAGAGGCGCCUCACGUCGUCGACGGCGAGCACGUCGGAGUCGAGGUAUAUCGCCCGCGGGACGCACUUGGGGAGCAGGUCGGCGAGGUAGUUCCUGGCGUAGUUGAGCGGCGCCUCGAGAGCGGCGCGCACGGACGCCGAGAUGAGCCCGGUGACCGCGUCAGCGCGGAACGGGUAGAUCUCGAACCGAAGCGACGGGAACGACGCCGCCACGGCGGUCCUCAGCUCCCCGACCCCACCCCCGCACCCCUCGCCGCCGUCCGCCGCCGCCAGGAAGUGGAAGAAUAUCGACUCCGGGCACGACGCGUGCUUGAGCAGCGAGUAGAUGGCCGCCAUGGACCCCCUCAGGUAGUGCGCGUCGAGCGUCAUCGCGAUGUGGACCAGCCCCGGGUCGCACACCCCCGCCCCCGCCACCGCCGCC